RNAcentral lists this ribosomal RNA (575 nucleotides) under uncultured archaeon. RNAcentral's name for it is "bacterial SSU rRNA". It matches the Rfam family "Archaeal small subunit ribosomal RNA", at positions 50 to 647 of the family's 1478-position model. The record is from RNAcentral.
CAUGCGAGUAGAUGAUUAGAUCAUUGCAAACUGCUCAGUAACACGUGGAUAACCUGCCCUAUGCUCCGGGAUAACCUCGGGAAACUGAGAAGAAUACCGGAUAGACCACAACGCCUGGAACGGUGUGUGGUUGAAAGGUCACGGCAUAGGAUGGGUCUGCGGCGUAUCAGGUCGUAGGGGGUGUAACGGACCUCCUAGCCAUCGACGCGUACGGGUUGUGGGAGCAAUAGCCCGGAGAUGGAUUCUGAGACACGAAUCCAGACCCUACGGGGUGCAGCAGCGCGAAAACUUCACACUGCAGGAAACUGUGAUGAGGGAACUCCAAGUGACUGCACAUUUGUGUAGCCUUUUUCUUUACUAUUAAUCGGUAUUGGAAUAAGGGCUGGGAAAGAACCGGUGCCAGCCGCCGCGUAAUACCGGCAGCUCAAGUUGGCCGUCGCCUUUUAUUGGGCCUAAACGUCCGGAAGCUGUUUGGUAAAUCUGGGGGUAAAUCAACCAGCUUACUGGUUGAUUCUUCAAAAAUUCCAGAAUAGGACCGGAAAUGUGGGUAUCUAGGGUAGGGUAAAUCUGUCAUC